GGCUAUAAAAAGGCUUAAGAGGUCGAUCGAAGAAUCAAGCAGAACCCAUACUCCAAAGAAAAUGAAGGCCUUCCUUAUCAUUUGCGUCCUCUUGUCUUCUUUUUUUGUCAUUCCGUCUCCAAUUGUAGCUCGAGAGUUGACUCAUAAUGGUGAGAAAUUAAACUUGUCAAACGGCAAAGUUGGUUGUCGCAAACUUGAAGGUGUCAAAGAGGGACCAGUAUGCAAAGGUAAACGAAAGGGUAACUGCCGGUGCCCUGUAUUCAAACCUAAUUGCUGAGCCUCCAAACCUUUCAGUGAAGAAAUAAUGUGGCCGAAAAAUAUAAUAAAGUGCUAUAUAUGUGAUCGAAUAAUUGAUCUAUAACUGUUGUCUAGCUAUGACAUCGCGUGUAAUAUAAGGUAUUUCUACAAUAAAUGAUGCUGGUUUGACAAAAA
Hevea brasiliensis (rubber tree) is the source of this 432-nucleotide long non-coding RNA. RefSeq lists it as uncharacterized. NCBI's taxonomy places the organism in Eukaryota, Viridiplantae, Streptophyta, Magnoliopsida, Malpighiales, Euphorbiaceae. The transcript has 2 exons. The record is from RefSeq and is a predicted model, not a curated record.